Molecule: long non-coding RNA, 239 nt
Organism: Eptesicus fuscus (big brown bat)
Lineage: Eukaryota; Metazoa; Chordata; Mammalia; Chiroptera; Vespertilionidae
Exons: 3
Source: RefSeq, a predicted model, not a curated record
CGGCUUCGUUGUGGGCGACUGGAAUGGAAAAAGAAAUAGAUCAAGCAAUUCGAAGAUAAAAUGGAUGUUGUCUGAAGAAGGCCGGGGCUGACCCCACACCCUGCUCUUCAGGCCUCUGCAGAAAGAGAGGAUAGCAAAGACAAGAGUCCCAAUCCGAACACAGUCGGGCAUUGAACCAAUGAAGACUACAGAUUAUGCAAAGCAAGACAGAGGGAGGGAGAGAAACCUUCAAUGACGAG